RNAcentral lists this ribosomal RNA (467 nucleotides) under uncultured bacterium. Its description in RNAcentral is "partial 16S ribosomal RNA". It matches the Rfam family "Bacterial small subunit ribosomal RNA", at positions 28 to 507 of the family's 1533-position model. The record is from RNAcentral.
GAUGAACGCUGGCGGCGCGCCUAACACAUGCAAGUCGAACGAUUAAAGCACCUUCGGGUGUGUAUAAAGUGGCGAACGGCUGAGUAACACGUGGGCAACCUGCCCCUUUCAUUGGGAUAGCCACGGGAAACCGUGGAUAAUACCGAAUACUUCGAGACUUCCGCAUGGAAGACUCGAGAAAGCUCCGGCGGAGAGGGAUGGGCCCGCGGCCUGUUAGCUUGUUGGUGGGGUAACGGCCUACCAAGGCAAUGAUGGGUAGCUGGGUUGAGAGACCGACCAGCAAGAGGGGGGGAGAGAUACGGGCGGGCGUCAGGCGGGAGGCAGGGGUGCGGAGUGUGGCAUGAUGGCGUAAGGCGUGAAGCAGCGAUGCCGCGGGCGGGAGGAAGAACUUCGGGUGGUAAAAAGCUAUCCGCAGGCACAAGGCGAGAGUGACGGUGCGUGAAGAAGAAGCAACGGCUACGUACAUG